AUCCAGACUCCUACGGGAGGCAGCAGUGGGGAAUAUUGCACAGUGGGGGGAACCCUGAUGCGGCAACGCCGCGUGGGUGAAGAAGUAUUUCGGUAUGUAAAGCCCUAUCAGCAGGGAAGAAGAUGACGGUACCUGACUAAGAAGCCCCGGCUAAAUACGUGCCAGCAGCCGCGGUAAUACGUAUGGGGCAAGCGUUAUCCGGAUUUACUGGGUGUAAAGGGAGCGCAGGCGGCGCGGCAAGUCAGAUGUGAAAGCCCGGGGCUCAACCCCGGGACUGCAUUUGAAACUGCCGUGCUGGAGUGUCGGAGAGGCAAGUGGAAUUCCUAGUGUAGCGGUGAAAUGCGUAGAUAUUAGGAGGAACACCAGUGGCGAAGGCGGCUUGCUGGACGAUAACUGACGCUGAGGCUCGAAAGCGUGGGGAGCAAACAGGAUUAGAUACCCGAGUAA
Molecule: ribosomal RNA, 447 nt
Filed under: uncultured bacterium
Lineage: Bacteria
Description: bacterial SSU rRNA
Rfam family: Bacterial small subunit ribosomal RNA
Source: RNAcentral